This is a long non-coding RNA of Oncorhynchus kisutch (coho salmon), 2645 nucleotides long. RefSeq lists it as uncharacterized. The record is from RefSeq and is a predicted model, not a curated record. Lineage: Eukaryota; Metazoa; Chordata; Actinopteri; Salmoniformes; Salmonidae. The transcript is spliced from 3 exons.
UUUUGUUUGGUUUCUUGUUCCUUGACACACACACAUAUAUUUGUGCAUAGAUACACAGUCAUAUACCCAGACUCAAACCCUCACAUGGCUCCUCAUCUCUCUGUUUUCAUCCUCCUCAUCAUCAUUUUUUCCAGACUAUCAGUAAUGUCAAUGCCAUCCACCGAAGACACCGAAGACUCAUACUUAACAUCAGCGUACAGCAUGUAUAGAUCUGAAGACGUCAGUAGAUUACUCUACAGUUUGGAACGAACCGUCUUCUACCUGGUGAAAAUUGUUAAUGCAAUGUUCUUCCUCCUGUGCACCAUCAUUGCUGUGUUGAUUUUCAAGGUUAACAAAAUUCGAGGUAAAAUUCAGGAUUGUUAGAAACCAGACAGGUCUCUUUGGUGAGAACAGAUGUGUGACCAUACAAUUGUGUUUUAAGUUCCAUUAUUCACCAGCGAGAUGUUUUUUUUGUUUGUUACAGCCAAACAUUUAAUUCAAUCGGAAUGUUUUAUUCAUUCGUUUUACUGGUGAUUGAAGCUAAAACUACACUGUGUGCACAAUUAUUAGGCAAGUGAGUAUUCUGAUCUUAUCAUUAUUGCUAUUCACAUUUUCCAACUCCAAACCAUAUAAACGUGAAUGCUUAUUGGAUUGAAUCAUUUUCAGGUGAUAUGUAUUUGUGUGAUGAGGGAGGGUGUGGUGAAAGUGAAUAACAUGUGUAUAAUUAUUAGGCAGCUUCAUUACCUCAGGUAAAAUGGGCCACAAAAUGUAUUUAAUUAACUGACACUGAAAAGACAAAUUGUAAAAUGCCUUUCAGACGGAUGAACACUCUUGAAAUAGCUAAACUAUUGAGGCGUGACCACCGGACAAUCAAACGUUUUGUUGCGAAUAGUCAACUGGAGCGCAAAAAACUCACGGAGAAGAAAAGGCGCAAAUGAACUGCAAAGACUUGAAGAUAAUUAAACGUCAAGCUACCAGGAACCCAUUAUCCUCCAGUGCCACCAUAUUCCAGAACUGCAACCUACCUGGAAAGUCCAGAAGUACAAGGUGUCAAGUGUUCAGAGACAUGGCCAAGGUCAAGAAGGCUGAAACACCACCACUGGAUAAGAUUCACAAGUUGAAGCGUCAAGAUUGGGCAAAGAAAUACCUAUAGACACAUUUUUCAAAGGUUUUAUGGACAGAUUAAAUGAGUGACUCUUGAUGGACCUGAUGGAUGGGACCGGGGCUGGAUCAAUAAUGGACACAGGGCACCACUUCGAGUCAGGAGCCAGCCAGGUGGAGGAGGGGUACUGGUAUGGGCUGCGAUCAUUAAGGAUGAGGUAGUUGGACCUUUUUGGGUUGAAGAUGGUCUGAAACUCAACUCCCAAACCUACUUCCAGUUUCUGGAAGAUACUUUCUUCAAGUAGUGGUACAGGAAGAAGUCCUCAGCAUUCAAGAAGGCCAUGAUCUUCAUGCAGGACAAUGCUCCAUCACAUGUAUCCAAGUACUCCACUGCUUGGCUAGCCAGCAAGGGCCUCAAAGACGCCCGAAUAAUGACCUGGCCCUCUUCCUCACCUGACUUAAAUCCUAUUGAGAACUUGUGGGCCCUUCUCAAACGUGAGAUUUACAGUGAGGGAAGACAAUCCACCUCUUUGAACAGCAUUUGAGAGGCUGUGGUUGAAAAGAAGGGUUGCUAUAUUGAUAACUGAAUAUUUACUGAAUAAAGUCCAAAAUGUUUAUUUGUCAUUUUGCGUUACUUAUUUGUUACACUUACUCUAAAAAUUUAGAAUAAACAAGUGAGUUGGGAGAAAUUAUUUUUGUAAUUUAGUUGCCUAAUAAUUGUGCACACAUAUAUUCCCCUGAGAAAGACAAAACUCACUUUUUCCUUUGUUAAAAAUGCAGAUUUGAGGUUCAGUAACAUUUUGGAUUGACGGAGAGCAUUGUGUUUGUUCAACAAUCCUAAGGAAUACAAUUAGCCUAAUAAUUGUUGCCUAAUAAUUGUGCACGCAGUGUAUUUACCACAACCCCACAAUCACUUCCUUCCUCUCCCCAAUCUCCAUAGGCUACCAAAUAUCUCUAGGUUCAUACAUGAUUAGCCUUUCAAAUAUUUGAUGAAUUGUAUUGAUGCAGUAUACAAAAAAAAAAAAAAUGUAAGUCUCCUUUUCCCCCUCCAAAGUAUAAAGUUGCCACAUGGUUUUAUUCCUUGGUCUCCAUAAUAUUACUGGCCCACAGAAAUAUAUGAACAAACUGAUUUUCUGUUUUGUUUUGCUCUUUUGUCACUGAUUUAAUUCAAUAACCAGUGUUGAAUUGUUUUGAAUGACUAAUUACCACUGUUAACCUACAUAAAUGGAACACAUGCAUAUUUUGCUAAUAAAACAUUUUACAGACACUUUAGGCUACUUAUUGUUGGCUAUGAACAUUUUGCAAAUGUCUUGUUCUCGCUGAUGGUUGAAUACUGCUACUCUACCACCAGCAUGACGUCAUUGUGCAGUCCUAUAUAUGACAUGUGGAAUUCACAAAUAGAUCAUGUUACAGAUAGUACACUGUAUUCAAAUUGUGCUUUAGUACUGUAUAUUCCUCAUACAUAUCUUAUUGUGAUUUUUCAGACUUGUAUUUACCUUUACAAUAGUUGCUGUAUUGUUGUGAAUGAAAUGCUGUAACAAAAGUAAAGAACGAGUACAUAUUUA